This 327-nucleotide ribosomal RNA is filed under the name Triticum aestivum (bread wheat). RNAcentral's name for it is "partial small subunit ribosomal RNA". Lineage: Eukaryota; Viridiplantae; Streptophyta; Magnoliopsida; Poales; Poaceae. The record is from RNAcentral.
AUGUUAUUUCCUCUUCUUAUAUUACUACUUUUCACUUUGUUCAUUGGAUUCAUAGGAAUCUCUUUUGAUAAUGGAGGAAUUGAUAAUGAAAUAGCAGAGUUAACCAUAUUAUCAAAGUGGUUAGCUCCCUCAAUAAACUUUACCCAGGAAAGUUCUAAUUUUUUUGUAAAUUCAUAUGAAUUUAUUACUAAUGCAAUUUCUUCUGUAAGUCUAGCUAUCUUUGGUUUACUCAUAGCAUAUAUCUUCUAUGGAUCUGCUUAUUCUUUUUUUCAGAAUUUGGAUUUAAUAAACUCUUUUUACAAAGGAAAUCCUAAAAAGAAUUUUUAG